Molecule: ribosomal RNA, 259 nt
Filed under: uncultured bacterium
Lineage: Bacteria
Description: partial 16S ribosomal RNA
Rfam family: Bacterial small subunit ribosomal RNA
Source: RNAcentral
GUCAGCACAGUAAACGAUGAAUACUAACUGUUUGCGAUACACAGCAAGUGGUACAGUGAAAACGUUAAGUAUUCCACCUGGGGAGUACGCCGGCAACGGUGAAACUCAAAGGAAUUGACGGGGGCCCGCACAAGCGGAGGAACAUGUGGUUUAAUUCGGUGAUACGCGAGGAACCUUACCCGGGCUUGAAUUGCAUUUGAAUGGCGUGGAAACAUGUCAGCCAGCAAUGGCAAAUGUGAAGGUGCUGCAUGGUUGUCGU